RNAcentral lists this ribosomal RNA (254 nucleotides) under uncultured bacterium. RNAcentral's name for it is "partial 16S ribosomal RNA". It matches the Rfam family "Bacterial small subunit ribosomal RNA", at positions 524 to 776 of the family's 1533-position model. The record is from RNAcentral.
UACGGGGGGUGCGAGCGUUGUCCGGAUUCACUGGGCGUAAAGGGCGCGCAGGCGGCUGCUCAAGUCAGGCGUGAAAGGCCUGGGCUCAACCCGGGAAUUGCGCUUGAGACUGGGCUGGCUUGAGUGCGGGAGAGGAUGGUGGAAUUCCCAGUGUAGAGGUGAAAUUCGUAGAUAUUGGGAAGAACACCGGUGGCGAAGGCGGCCAUCUGGACCGCAACUGACGCUGAGGCGCGAAAGCGUGGGGAGCAAACAGG